GAGUUUGAUCCUGGCUCAGGACGAACGCUGGCGGCGUGCUUCACACAUGCAAGUCGAACGGAAAGGCCCGCUUGCGGGUGCUCGAGUGGCGAACGGGUGAGUAACACGUGGGUAACCUGCCCCCAUCUCUGGGAUAACCGUUGGAAACGGCGGCUAAUACCGGAUACGACCUGGCUCCGCAUGGUGCUGGGUGGAAAGUUUUUGCGGUUGGGGAGGGGCCCGCGGCCUAUCAGCUGGUUGGUGCGGUGAUGGCGCACCAAGGCUUUGACGGGUAGCCGGCCUGAGAGGGCGGUCGGUCACAUUGGGACUGAGAUACGGCCCAGACUCCUACGGGAGGCAGCAGUGGGGAAUUUUGCACAAUGGGCGGAAGCCUGAUGCAGCGACGCCGCGUGAGGGAUGACGGCUUUCGGGUUGUAAACCUCUUUUAUCCACCACGAAGGCCCCGUAUUCGCGGGGUUGACGGUAGUGGUUGAAUAAGCGCCGGCUAACUACGUGCCAGCAGCCGCGGUAAGACGUAGGGCGCGAGCGUUGUCCGGAUUUAUUGGGCGUAAAGGGCUCAUAGGCGGCCCGCUGCGUCUGCCGUGAAAGGCCUCGGCUUAACCGGGGUUUUGCGGUGGAUACGGGCGGGCUUGAGGCAAGUAGGGGAAACUGGAAUUCUACGUGUAGCGGUGAAAUGCGCAGAUAUGUGGAGGAACACCGGUGGCGAAGGCGGGUUUCUGGGCUUGUUCUGACGCUGAGGAGCGAAAGCGUGGGGAGCGAACAGGAUUAGAUACCCUGGUAGUCCAUGCUGUAAACGGUGGGCGCUAGGUGUGGGGCCACGUUGGUUGGUUCUGUGCCGUAGCUAACGCAUUAAGCGCCCCGCCUGGGGAGUACGGCCGCAAGGCUAAAACUCAAAGGAAUUGACGGGGGCCCGCACAAGCGGCGGAGCAUGCGGAUUAAUUCGAUGCAACGCGAAGAACCUUACCUGGGUUUGACAUCACCCGGAAACCCUCAGAGAUGGGGGCCUCUUCGGACUGGGUGACAGGUGGUGCAUGGCUGUCGUCAGCUCGUGUCGUGAGAUGUUGGGUUAAGUCCCGCAACGAGCGCAACCCUUAUCCCGUGUUGCCAGCAUUGAGUUGGGGACUCGCGGGAGACUGCCGGGGUUAACUCGGAGGAAGGUGGGGAUGAGGUCAAGUCAUCAUGCCCCUUAUGUCCAGGGCUUCACGCAUGCUACAUUGGCCGGUACAGCGGGUUGCGAUACCGUGAGGUGGAGCGAAUCUCUGUAAAGCCGGUCUUGGUUCGGAUUCGAGUCUGCAACUCGACUCGAUGAAGGUGGAGUCGCUAGUAAUCGCAGAUCAGCAACGCUGCGGUGAAUGCGUUCCCGGGCCUUGUACACACCGCCCGUCACGUCAUGAAAGUUGGCAACACCCGAAGCCUGCGGCCUAACCGGUUUACCGGAGGGAGUGGUCGAAGGUGGGGCUGGCGAUUAGGACGAAGUCGUAACAAGGUAGCCGUACCGGAAGGUGCGGCUGGAUCACCUCCUUUCU
RNAcentral lists this ribosomal RNA (1526 nucleotides) under Glycomyces artemisiae. Its description in RNAcentral is "16S ribosomal RNA". It matches the Rfam family "Bacterial small subunit ribosomal RNA". The record is from RNAcentral. Lineage: Bacteria; Bacillati; Actinomycetota; Actinomycetes; Glycomycetales; Glycomycetaceae.